RNAcentral lists this non-coding RNA (2408 nucleotides) under Adenomera sp. Q. RNAcentral describes it as "partial large subunit ribosomal RNA". The stretch from base 1 to 914 matches the Rfam family "Bacterial small subunit ribosomal RNA". Lineage: Eukaryota; Metazoa; Chordata; Amphibia; Anura; Leptodactylidae. The record is from RNAcentral.
GUUUGGUCCUAGCCUUACAGUCAAUUUUUACUCGAUUUACACAUGCAAGUAUCCGCACUCCUGUGAAAACGCCCUCAAGUUCCCCAUAGGAAUAAGGAGCCGGUAUCAGGCACAUCCUUUCUGCCCAAGACACCUAGCUAUGCCACACCCACAAGGGACCUCAGCAGUGAUUAACAUUGAUUAUCAGCAAAAGCUUGAUUCAGUUAGAGAAAAUAGAGCCGGCUAAUCUGGUGCCAGCCGCCGCGGUUACACCACGUGGCUCAAAUUGACUUCUAUCGGCGUAAAGAGUGAUUUAAGAACCUAAUAAUUGGCGUCAAAUUUAAACUAAGCUGUGACACGCUUGUCCCUUAGAAGCCCUAAAACGAAAGUUACACCAACUUAACCAACUUGAACUCACGACAACCAAGAAACAAACUGGGAUUAGAUACCCCACUAUGCUUGGCAGUAAACCUUAAAUUACACCUAAAUCGCCAGGGAACUACGAGCAAAGCUUAAAACCCAAAGGACUUGACGGUACCCCAAAUCCACCUAGAGGAGCCUGUCCUAUAAUCGAUAACCCCCGCUUUACCUCACCACUUCUUGUUAUUCAGCCUGUAUACCUCCGUCGUCAGCUUACCUCGUGAGCGACACACAGUGAGCUCAAUGCUAUUUCACCAACACGUCAGGUCAAGGUGCAGCUUAUGAAGUGGCUAGUGAUGGGCUACACUCCCUAAUUUAGAAAAUACGAAAAACUAUUUAUGAAAUCUAGUUUGAAGGCGGAUUUAGAAGUAAAAAGAAACCAGAUAAUUCUUUUUAACUAGGCACUGGGGUGUGUACACACCGCCCGUCACCCUCCUCAAAAUCUUACUGUAGUUUUUAACUCACCUAUGAUAAACAGAAGAGGCAAGUCGUAACAUGGUAAGUAUACNNNNNNNNNNNNNNNNNNNNAUCCUAUAGCUUACACAAGCACCCCGCUUACACCGGACAGAUCUCUGUAAAACUCAGAUUAUUGUGAGCCAACUCUCUAGCCCUAACCUUCCUUAUGCCAUCUUUAUAACCCUAUCUACUAACUAAAACAUUUUAACGACUUAGUAAAGGAGAUUGAAAGACCUUUAGGAGCUAUAAAAAGUACCGCAAGGGAAAGAUGAAAUAAAAAUGAAACAAACUUUAAGCAAAAAACAGUAGAGAAAAACCCUCGUACCUUUUGCAUCAUGGUUUAACUAGUCUAACCAAGCAAAAAGACCUUCAGUUUGACCCCCCGAAACUAAACGAGCUACUUUAAGGCAGCUUACUGAGCUAACCCGUCUCUGUUGUAAAAGAGUGGGAAGACCUUUAAGUAGAAGUGAUAGACCUACCGAGUUUAGUAAUAGCUGGUUGCUUAAGAAAAGGACCUUAGUCCCUGCUAAACUGACCACUAUAUAAUAAAUUACCUUCAGUUUAGACCCAUUCAAAUAAGGUACAGCCUGUUUGACAAAGGACACAACCUCUUUAUAUGGGUAAUAAACGCAACUUUACAAUUUAGUAGGCCUAAGAGCAGCCACCUUAAUAAACAGCGUCACAGCUUAGUUAUAAACAAGCCCAAUCACCCCCACAACCUAAAACCCUACACCACUAUUAAGCAAUUCCAUAUCUCUAUGGAAAUUCUUAUGUUAAAACUAGUAACAAGAAGUAACACUUCUCUUCAAUGCAAACUCACAUCAGACUGGAUUAGCCACUGAUAAAUAACACUCGUAAUUUCCAAAUAGCAACUAAACAAGAAAACUCUAUUCCCCACAGUGUUAACCUAAUACAAGAGCAUUACAAGAAAGAUUAAAAGAAAAAGAAGGAAUUCGGCAAAUAUUGACCCCGCCUGUUUACCAAAAACAUCGCCUCUUGACCCAUAUAGGAGGUCCAGCCUGCCCAGUGACAUUGUUCAACGGCCGCGGUAUCCUAACCGUGCGAAGGUAGCGUAAUCAUUUGUUCUUUAAAUGAGGACUAGUAUGAAAGGCAUCACGAGAGUCAUGCUGUCUCCUUUCUCUAAUCCGUGAAACUAAUCCCCCCGUGAAGAAGCGGGAAUAAAAAUAUAAGACGAGAAGACCCUAUGGAGCUUUAAACAAAUAACACCUGCCUUCUUUUGUUUAAUUUCCGAAAAACCACUUACUCUGGCACGCUAAUUAUUAGUUUUUGGUUGGGGUGACCACGGAAUAAAAAACAACUCCCGCAAUGAAAAUACUCCUCCACUAAGUUAAGGACUACGAUUCUACGCAUCAAUAUACUGACAUCAAUUGACCCAACAUGUUGAUCAAUGAACCAAGUUACCCUAGGGAUAACAGCGCAAUCCACUUCAAGAGCCCCUAUCGACAAGUGGGUUUACGACCUCGAUGUUGGAUCAGGGCAUCCUAGUGGUGUAGCCGCUACUAAAGGUUCGUUUGUUCAACGAUUAAAGCCCU